GAUGAACGCUGGCGGCGUGCUUAACACAUGCAAGUCGAACGGAAAGGCUCCUGCUUGCCGGGGUACUCGAGUGUCGAACGGGUGAGUAACACGUGGGUGAUCUGCCCUGCACUUCGGGAUAAGCCUGGGAAACUGGGUCUAAUACCGGAUAGGACGAUGUUUUGGAUGCCAUUGUGGUAAGUUAUUCGGUGUGGGAUGAUCUCGCGGCCUAUCAGCUGGUUGGUGGGGUAAUGGCCUCCCAAGGAGUCGACGGGUAGCCGGCCUGCGGGGGUGUCCGGCCACAUUUGGACUGAGAUACGGCCCAGAUUCCUACGUGCGGGAGCAGUUGGGAAUAAUGCACAAUGGGCGCAAGCCUGAUGCAGCGACGCCGCGUGGGGGAUUACGGCCUUCGGGUUGUAAACUCCUUUCGCUAGCGAAGAAGCGCAAGUGAGGGUACCUGGAGAAGAAGCACCGGCUAACUACGUG
Molecule: ribosomal RNA, 465 nt
Filed under: uncultured bacterium
Lineage: Bacteria
Description: partial 16S ribosomal RNA
Rfam family: Bacterial small subunit ribosomal RNA
Source: RNAcentral